CAGCCUCUUCUCUCAGCUCGCAGUCAUGUACUCCAUACUCACCUACUCCAUAAGCCUCCUUCUCUCGUGCAAGUAAGCCCCUCCGGCCACCAUCACCGCCCACCAUCACCACCGGCUCCUCUCCUCCAAAGUCCGGUCGUUCUUCUCCUCCAAAAUUCACAGUGCUGGCCUCCAGACUCUGGCCUUUCUUCUUCACCGGCCUAGCUGCGUCCUCCUCUACGUCAUCUUCACCGGCGACGAGGGAUUAGAUGGUAUUAACAUCUUCUAAGUCGUACGAGAUGGUAUUAACCAGAAAGAGUCAAAUGUGAAAAGAUUGAUGGAUGAGUUGCAGGGAGAUCUUUUCGAGGUGUUUAUGAAUACAAAUUACUAGCUUUCGUCCCUCUAUGCAUCAACAUGAAGAUCAGUGACAGUUUGCCAUAAUUUAAGAUGUAAGAGAAUCAAAAUGAAGGUCAAGAUCAUGUGUUAAUGAGGGCGAUAUCAAGAUCAUGUAAAUGAGUUUGUUGAAACUUUCUCGUGAUCGAUCAAUAAUAGCUUGGCAGCUGGUUAUAUCACGCGCAUUUAAACAGGUCCAACUAUUUGUCAUGAAGAAGAGCUGGAUAAAAUUUACUGAAGUUGAGGCAAUCACUCGUCAAACUGGAAUUAAACGUUUGGUUGUAGCUCACAAGAAGUAAAUCAUUUGCUGUAUUCAUGCUGCGGAAGUGCUGAAGUACUGCUUUCUUUGGGAGUUGACGAACUGCUAAAUAAAGUUCAACAUACAGAGGAUAUCGUUUGAAGAAGGGAAUGUUGUUGAGACUCUUGAAGAAGCCAAAUCUACUCUCCAACAAUUAAUAAAGAAUUGUGAGAUUUACAUAUUCAGAAAUGAACAGAGUGAAAACUUUAUGAUCUAUUAACUAUGGUGACUAUGGCGGCGUUAUAGACGGAGGUAAAGUAGGAGCUUCUCUUUUUUUCUCGAAUUUGGUUUCUUUUACAUAAUUACAUGUUUAGGACAAUAGGCGUGCAUGACGAACUUGAAAUGAGUUUUAUUAAAAUAUAACUAAUCAUAUGAAUCAUUAAAAAGGUUUAGAAUGUGGAAAUAGGUUCGUUUGUUGGUAGUUGGAAUCGAAAAUGCCAUUUUUGGCCAUAAAUGACCUAUAUCGACCCAGAUGACCAAUAGGCGUGUAUAACAAACUUGAAAUGAGUCUUAUAAACAUAUAACUAAUCAUAUGAAUCAUGAAAAAGUUUUAGAAUUUGAAUAUAAGUUCGUUUGUUGAUAGUUGGGAUCGAAAAUGCCAUUUUUGGCCAUAAAUGACCUAUAUCGACCCAAAUGAACCAUAGGCGUGCAUAACAAACUUGAAAUGAGUUUCAUAAACAUAUAACUAAUCAUAUGAAUCAUUAAAAAGGUUUAGAAUGUGGAAAUAGGUUCGUUUGUUGGUAGUUAGGAUCGGAAAUGUCAUUUUUUUGCCAUAAAUGACCUAUAUCGACCCAAAUGAACCAUAGGCGUGCAUAACGAACUUGAAAUGAGUUUCAUAAACAUAUAAAUAAUCAUAUUAAUGAUUAAAAAGGUUUAGAAUGUGGAAAUAGGUUCGUUUCUUGGUAGUUUGGAUCGAAAAUGCCAUUUUUGGACAUAAACGACCUAUAUCGACCCAAAUGAACCACAGGCGUGCAUAACCAACAUGAAAUGAGUUUCAUAAACAUAUAACUAAUCAAAUGAAUCAUGAAAAAGGGUUAGAAUGUAGAAAUAGGUUCGUUUGUUGGUAGUUGGGAUUGAAAAUGCCAUUUUUGGCCAUAAAUGACCUAUAUCGACCCAAAUGACCCAUAUGGGUGCAUAAAGAACUUUAAAUGACUCUUAUAAACAUAUAACUAAUCAUAUGAAUAAUGAAAAAGGUUUAAAAUUCGAAUAUAAGUUCGUUUGUUGAUUGUUGGGAUCGAAAAUGCUAUUUUUGGCCAUAAAUGACCUAUAUCGACCCAAAUGAACCAUAGGCGUGCACAACGAACUUGAAAUGCGUCUUAUAAACAUAUAACUAAUCAUAUGAAUCAUUAAACAGGUUUAGAAUUUGAAUAUAAGUUCGUUUGUUGAUAGUUGAGAUCGAAAAUGCCAUUUUUGGCCAUAAAUGACCUAUAUCGUCCCAAAUGACCCAUGGGCGUGCAUAACGAACUUCAAUUGAGUCUUAUAAUCAUAUAACUAAUCAUAUAAAUCAUGAAAAAGGUUUAGAUUGUGGAUAGAAGUUCGUUUGUUGAUAGUUGGGAUCGAAAAUGCCAUUUUUGGCCAUAAAUGACCAAUAUCGACCCAAAUGACCCAUAGGCGUGCAUAACGAACUUGAAUUCAGUCUUAUAAUCAUAUAAAUAAUCAUCUAAAUCAUGAAAAAGGUUUAGAAUGUGGAUAUAAGUUCUUUUGUUGGUAGUUGGGAUCGAAAAUGACAUUUUGAACCAUAAAUGACAUAUAUCGACCUAAAUGAACCACAGUUGUGCAUAACCAACUUGAAAUGAGUUUCAUAAAUAUAUAACUAAUCAUAUGAAUCAUGAAAAAGGGUUAGAAUGUGGAAAGAGGUUCGUUUGUUGGUAGUUGGGUUCGUAAAUGCCAUUAUGGACCAUAAAUGACCUAUAUCGACCCAAAUGAACCACAGUUGUGCAUAACGAACUUGAAAUUAGUUUCAUAAACAUAUAACUAAUCAUAUGAAUCAUGAAAAAGGGUUAGAAUGUGGAAAGAGGUUCGUUUGUUGGUAGUUGGGUUCGAAAAUACCAUUUUUGGCCAUAAAUGACCUAUAUCGACCCAAAUGACCCAUACGCGUGCAUAACGAACUUUAAAUUAGUCUUAUAAACAUAUAAAUAAUCAUAUGAAUUAUGAAAAAGGUUUAGAAUUUGAAUAUAAGUUCGUUUGUUGAUAGUUGGGAUCGAAAAUGCUAUUUUUGGCCAUAAAUGACCUAUAUCGACUCAAAUGAACCAUAGGCGUGCAUAACGAACUUGAAAUGAGUCUUAUAAAUAUAUAACUAAUCAUAUGAAUCAUUAAAAAGGUUUAGAAUUUGAAUAUAAGUUCGUUUGUUGAUAGUUGGGAUCGAAAAUGCCAUUUUUGGCCAUAAAUGACCAAUAUCGACCCAAAUGACCCAUAGGCGUCCAUAACGAACUUGAAUUAAGUCUUAUAAUCAUAUAAAUAAUCAUCUAAAUCAUAAAAAAGGUUUAGAAUGUGGAUAUAAGUUCGUUUGUUGGUAGUUGGGAUCGAAAAUGCCAUUUUGGACCAUAAAUGACAUAUAUCGACCCAAAUGAACCACAGUUGUGCAUAACGAACUUGAAAUGAGUUUCAUAAAUAUAUAACUAAUCAUAUGAAUCAUGAAAAAGGGUUAGAAUGUGGAAAGAGGUUUGUUUGUUGGUAGUUGUGUAGGAAAAUGACAUUUUUGGCCAUAAAUGAACUAUAUCGACCCAUAUGACCCAUAGGCGUGCAUAACGAACUUAAAAUGAGUCUUAUAAACAUAUAACUAAUCAUAUGAAUCAUAAAAAACGUUUAGAAUAUGGACAUAGGUUCGUUCGUUGGUAGUUGGGAUCGAAAAUGUCAUUUUUGGCCAUAAAUGACCUAUAUCGACCCAAAUGACCCAUAGGCGUGCAUAACGAACUUAAAAUGAGUCUUAUAAACAUAUAAUUAUUCAUAUGAAUCAUGAAAAACGUUUAGAAUAUGGAAAUAGGUUCAUUUGUUGGUAGUUGGAAUCGAAAAUGUCAUUUUUGGCCAUAAAUGACCUAUAUCCACCCAAAUAACCCAUAGGCGUGCAUAACGAACUUAAAAUGAGUCUUAUAAACAUAUAAUUAAUCAUAUGAAUCACGAAAAACGUUUAGAAUAUGGAAAUAGGUUCGUUUGUUGGUAGUUGGAAUCGAAAAUGCCAUUUUUGGCCAAAAAUGUCCUAUGUCGACCCAAAUGACCCUUAGGCUUGCAUAACGAACUUGAAAUGAGUUUCAUAAAUAUAUAACUAAUCAUGUGAAUCAUGAAAAAGGGUUAGAAUGUGGAAAUAGGUUCGUUUGUUUGUAGUUGGGAUCGAAAAUGCCAUUUUUGGCCAUAAAUGACCUAUAUCGACCCAAAUGACCCACAGGCGUGAAUAACGAACUUGAAAUGAGUCUUAUAAACAUAUAACUAAUCAUAUGAAUCAUGAAAAAUAUUUAGAAAGUGUCCUUAGGUUCAUUUGUUUAUAUUUGGGAUCGAAAAUGCCAUUUUUGGCCAAAUAUGAUCUAUAUCGAGCCAAAUGAGCCUUAGAUGUGCAUAAAGAACUUGAAAUGAAUCUUAGUACACUCAGAAAGUUGUUUUCUCGACCAAUAUAAUUUCUGUUUUCGCAUAUGAAACUUAAUUUAAUUUAUUGGUUUUCAUGUACGUUGUUCUUUUAAAGGUUUUCAAAACAGAGCAGGCUUGUAGUUAUCCGUGACUAGAGCAGGCUUGUAGUUAUCCGUGACUCUUACAUUAUUUUGUUAUUUAUCGAUUUAAUUAAUUACAUUUGAAUUAAUUCGGUAAUAUUAUUGGAAAUUUGAAAUUUAUAUCAUUUUUGAGGAAUGUCAAGCUGAUGUUUG
Molecule: long non-coding RNA, 4521 nt
Organism: Spinacia oleracea (spinach)
Lineage: Eukaryota; Viridiplantae; Streptophyta; Magnoliopsida; Caryophyllales; Amaranthaceae
Exons: 4
Source: RefSeq, a predicted model, not a curated record